RNAcentral lists this ribosomal RNA (240 nucleotides) under uncultured bacterium. Its description in RNAcentral is "partial 16S ribosomal RNA". It matches the Rfam family "Bacterial small subunit ribosomal RNA", at positions 524 to 762 of the family's 1533-position model. The record is from RNAcentral.
UACGUAGGGGGCAAGCGUUGUCCGGAUUUAUUGGGCGUAAAGGGCUCGCAGGCGGCUCGAUCAAGUCGUGCGUGAAAUCUCUCGGCUCAACUGGGAGCGGUCGUGCGAUACUGAUCAGCUCGAGGCCGGUAGGGGGAAGCGGAAUUCCGGGUGUAGUGGUGGAACGCGUAGAUAUCCGGAGGAACACCAGUGGCGAAGGCGGCUUCCUGGACCGGUCCUGACGCUCAGGAGCGAAAGCGU